GUCUUCGUGGCUCAGUUGGUUAGAGCGUUGGUCUCAUAUUCUUCAAUAUGAUCCGGAUAAACCCUGGGGCUAUCCAAAGGUCGUGAGUUCGAGUCUCACCGAGGACA
Bisporella sp. PMI_857 is the source of this 107-nucleotide non-coding RNA. The record is from the annotation of a GenBank genome assembly. Lineage: Eukaryota; Fungi; Ascomycota; Leotiomycetes; Helotiales; Helotiaceae.